Molecule: long non-coding RNA, 5521 nt
Filed under: Malus domestica (apple)
Lineage: Eukaryota; Viridiplantae; Streptophyta; Magnoliopsida; Rosales; Rosaceae
Description: long non-coding RNA (MDOM_LNC003189)
Source: RNAcentral
ACCUGCAAGCCACGGUGGUAAUCGAAUUCCAGUGAAAGGGAACAAAACUCCAGCCGCCACCGGCAUGCUGAGGAUAUUGUAGCCCAGGGCCCAGACAUAAUUCAAUCGAAUUUGAGACAUGGUCUUUCUAGAGAGAUCAAUGGCUGUAACUACAUCUUCCAAGUUGCUCUUCCUCAGAACUAUAAGCAGCUUCUAUAACUACGUCGGUGCCCGCACCAAUUGCCAUACCAACAUGUCCUGCAACCAUUGCCGGAGAGUCAUUAAUUCAAUCUCCCAUCAUUGCCACCACCAUUCCUUUCAUCUGCAUCCAAAUCCACUUUAACAAGUCAGAAAACACUAUGUAAGAUAGAUAACUCACAUAUCAAGUCAGAAACAAACUUAAUAUAGAAAAAUGAGUUUGAAGAUUGUUUGCAAGGUUUAGCAAGGUUUUAAAUGAAAUAGGAAUAGGGCCUUCUAAAUGAUUGUUUGCCAAGGAGAAAUCAAUCAUAUUCUGAAGACCCCCAAUGCCACCGGGAAUGCUUCCGGAGAAAUGGUUAUUUGAUAAAUCCAUAUCCACCACAUCCUUCAACUUUCCGAUGUCUUCUGAGAGUGGUCCAACCAGAGAAUUGGAUGACAAGUUUAGGUGCAAUAUAUACUUGAGUUCCCACAAGGAAGAUGGUAUUUUAGAAGUUAACAAAUUGGACCCUAACGGUAGAAAUCUUAGAGCUACUGCCGAAGUACCCAAGCAGGAAGGAAUAGAACCAGAGAGCCGAUUACCAUCCAAACGUAACUCGGCUAGGUUGUUUAGUUGACAGAGUUCAUACGGGAUAUGUCCUCCCAGUUCGUUAUCAUACAAAUACAAACCUUGGAGAUUUUUUAGCCUUUGUAUUGAAGUUGGAAUUGCUCCACUCAACUGAUUGUUUCCCAGGCUUAAUGAUAUCAAGCUGCUCAAGUUGCCAAUAUCAACUGGAAUGUUACCCCUGAUGUUCGAAUUUCUUAAAUUAACAUAUAGGAGUGACGUAGAGAGAUUCCCACGAGAAGCUGGAAUCAUGGUGUUUAGUGGAUUUCCUGCCAAGUAUAAUCUUGUCAAAUUUCUAAGAUUAAACAAGCAAGAGAGAGUGCUUGCUGCUUAUGGAGUAGAAGCAUGAAUUGUCAAAUUAUUCGAGUGCAGGUUUUUCAGGGAACAUAGCGUGGUAGGAAGAAUCCCGGUAAAUGAGUUUGUGUUCAUGUCUAGCUUCCAGAGCUUGGAAGCAUUGGAGAGGUUAGGGAGUAUUCCAGCCACGAGGUUACUUCUGGCUACAUAAAGGAUUUCUAGGUUUGGACCGUUAAGAGUCUUAACUUAAGACCGCUGUUUGCUGGGAGGCUACUUGAGAGCUGAUUGAAAGAACGCCCUAUUUCUCUUAUCAUGCAGAGAUUGAAGAGUUUGGAUGGGAUGACGCCACUGAGAUUAUUAAUAACAAGUCCCAAAAUCUCUAACUACGGAAGAUUACCAAUAUCAUCCGGUAUUGUAUCUGUUAUAAUUUCAGCACAUUUGCAUUAAAUUUUUAACUUCAAUUUAACUAAAAACUAAAAGCGAAAUGAUUAUCAAACAAUCCUAAAUUUACUACCUAUUAAAUUAUUGUCAUUAAGAUAAAUCUUGGUUAAGUAGGUCAAAUUGCCAAGACUUUUGGGUAUGCUUCCAAGGAAAUUGUUAGACCCUAAUAAGAUUUCACAAAGCUCUUUGCAUUGCCACAGUUUGGAGGGAAUAAGACCGUCAAACUGGUUUCGACCCAAAUUAAAUCGUCGAAUACUCAGAAGAUGCUCACAUAUAUUUUUCGGAAGACUGCCACUAAUAUUGUUUCCAUAUGGAGCCAAAGUAGUCAAAGAAGAUAUGUUGAGGACAGGCACAAUAGCAGAGCCUUUUAGGGCAUUGGACUGCGCAUACAACUCCUCCAGCUGAUCUAAACUACCCAUCUCGUUUGGAAAUUCUAUAAAUCAAUCAGUAUAUAUUGUUAAAAUCAUGUAAACAUAUAUAGGAGUUGCUUCUUAUUAGGAAUCCUGUUCUACCGUAGCAAAAGUGGGAUAAUAUUAUAAGGACCAUGUACAACUAUAUAGGUUCUCUUUUUGCUCCAGCAUACGAGGGUCUUACAUAGUAAAUAUACGAUCCCUAUGAUAGUCCUCUUAUUGUAUUUUUGCUAAAGUGGAACGAGAUUCCUGCUAAGAAGGGGCUCGUAUCUAAACUACUUACUACCUCAAUCAAAACUACAUGAAAUUACAAUUUUAACACCCAAACCAAAACUGCACAAAAAUAAAAAAAACUAUGGGUAAUUUAGUAAGGGCUGUGCUAUCCACACACCCCAUUUUACUUCUCACACACCCCUUGAUAAUUUAUGUAUGUUGAUAUUCUUCAAUUGAUUCGAUCCGACGGCCGAAAAUUAAAAAGGUUUGUGAGAAGUAAAAUGGGAUGUGUGCAUAUCACACCCCUUUAGUAAUUACAUGAACAUAACUUUUGUUGUUAUUUAGGGCAACCUCACAGCUAGGUCACCAUAGCAUGCCAUAUUUAAAAAUUAAAAAUAAAAUAAAAUAGUAAAUAAAAAACAUGCCUACUUUAGAAGAAACUGCUCAUCAUUUUCCCAAUUUUUAUAAGGGGUGUGCUAUCCACACAUUUUUUUACUUCUUACACAUUCCUUGUUAAUUUAUGUCCGUUGAUCUUCUUCAUUUUAUCCGAUACUACGGCUGAAGAUUAGAAGGGUGUGUGAAAAGUAAAAAGGGUGUGUGGAUAUCACACCCCUUUUUUUAUAAUUGAUUUAUUGUUUUAGAAUUUUAAAAACUAAUCACACUACUUAGUAAAAAAAACAAAAUGAAAUGAAAUUAUACAAAACCUAAGUCAUACAGUAUACCUUCGAACUUCUUGUCGUCAAGGUUUAUGCAAUUCACCAUUGUUAAGUUGCCUAUUUCUCUGGGUAUGCUACCUGUUAAAUAUGUGCAUGGAUUCCAACAAAAAAGAAGGCAAAAAAAACGAAGGAGAUGAUUGUUAUACAUCUUAUAUAUAGAUGUUAAAAUGUAAUCAUGAAGCAAGCAACAUUAAUUUAUAUUCCUAGCUGUUGGUAAUGGUGGUACGUACGUACCUGAUAGUUGGUUCGUGCUCAAACUAAUCAUUUCGAGUGCAGAUAAGUUGAAGAUAGCAGCGGGUAUGAAACCAGAGAAGCCAUUACCGUACAAUUUGAUGGUUUGAAGUUUAGGAAAGGACCCAAAUCACGAAGGAAUGGUUCCCAUAAAGCUGUUGUUUCCAAAGUUAAUUGCCUUCAACCGGCGCAAACGAGACAGUUCUUGCGGUAGGGAACCAUGAAAGCUAUUAUUCUUAAGGCCUAACUCAACGAGAAAUGAGUGGUUGCCUAGAUGCGGAGGAAUAACUCCGGCAAGACCCAUGUGCGAGAGAUUUAAGGCCGUUACUCUGUGGUGGCGAGCACCGCAGCUAACGCCAACCCAGUUGCAAAUGUCGGAAUUGAAGGCAAACGACCAGUUGGCGGUCAAGAUGUUUUGAGGGUCACUAGUGAUGUGAGCCUUGAGAGCAAGAAGCACAGACUGAUCUGUGCUGAAAUUGGUAUGAGAUAUUGCUAAUGCACCUGCAGUUAAGUAAUUAGCCAUAAUCAUCAUAUAGAUAUAACAUAAACAGUGUAUCAUCGACAACAUUUUUGAUGGUAGGAACCGACUUCUCUCCUUAAUUGUAGUAGUUUUCGUCUUUCGGUUUAAAUUCGAUCGAAAACUAGAGCUCAUUACAUUCACAUAAAUAGGGAAACGAGUUGGUGUUACCAAGACUUGUGAACGACAUAGACUUGCCCGGCGUCUAUGUCAAGGUGAGGAGACUUAGACUAGUCGAACGAAGACGAGUGGCAAGGAACACCUACCAUUCAUUUUUUGGAUUUUUUAACAUAUCAAACACACACCAUUCAUUUUUUACUGAUAGCUUGAAGGUGGCGUACGCCGUAAGCAACACCUACCAAUUGCAACUUGGAAGUGAGCAACGAGUGGUAAGGAUGUUUUGGUCUGUGGUGGUGAUAUUUGGUAAUUGGUGCUGCUAGCCGACGAGUUCUGUCCAUUUUGUGGUCACGGCUGGAGAUGCCCAAAUGUGGAAUUUUAGUCUUCAGUUCACCAUCAAAACAAACAACACCAUAAAUUUCAAGAUUGAUAUUUAAUGAUGACAUACAUUUUGAUUCAAAUGCAAAUGCAAAUGCGACCAAACACAUAACAGUUACAUUCUUCCGGAUGAAAUAUCUUUGCCGACAUUUACAUAUAAUCAAGCUCUAGUUGAACACUCUUCGGAUUCGAAAAUCAUCUAAACUUGGCUAAUCAGUUUUUUCUGAACAGAACAAACCAAAGAUGAUACGCAAACGGUCCAAGAAUUACGGUCUUAUGCUUCUAAAUUAUUAAUCAUGAUCGCAUGCAGACUUGCUAUUGGAGACGCUCUGAAUAUGCAAAGGCUUCUUAUAUGACUGCAACAAGAGAGAACAUACCACGCUUAGAGAUGAAGCAGGCAUGCACCUGCAAGCCAUGGUGGUAAUCGAAUUCCAGUGAAAGGGAACAAAACUCCAGCCGCCACCGGCAUGCUGAGGAUAUUGUAGCCCAGGGCGACAUAAUUCAAUCGAAUUCGAGACAUGGUCUUUCUAGAGAGAUCAAUGGCUGUAACUACAUCUUCCAAGUUGCUCUUCCUCAGAACUAUAAGCAGCUUAUAUAGCUAUGUCGGUGCCAGCACCAAUUGCCAUGCCAACAUCUCCUGCAACCAUAGCCGGAGGGUCAUUAAUUCCAUCUCCCAUCAUUGCCACCGCCAUUCCUUUCAUCUGCAUCCAAAUCGACUUUAACAAGUCAGAAAACACUAUGUUAGAUAACUCACAUAUCAAGUCAGAUACAAACUUAAUAUAGAAAAAUGUGUUUGAAGAUUUCUAUAAGACAUUAUUUUACCCUAGAUAAGUCAUUUGAAAUAUAAUUUAGUAAUCCUCAAUCUGCGUUCAAAACCAGAACAAAAUUACUUGUGGAGCUGGGUAAUUGUAAUCCACUCACACCACCCCUGUAACUAUUAUAUAAUCGUAACUGUAAUUCUUUGAUUCUAUCAGCUUUUCAUAGUGGAUCCGUCUCAGCACACCUUAUCAAUGCCAACCUCCAUCGCACUGGCUGCCGCUGUAGCCCAGUUAUCACCAGUAACCAUGAUGCUUGUAAUGUUUAUCGAGUGAAGAUAAGAGAUGACUCGUGCAGCCUCUGGCUUCACUGGGUCAGUUACAGCAAAAGACCCAGCAAUCUUUCCAUCAAUGGACACCAACACACACCUUCGAGCCAGAUUAUCAUGUUCUGAAACAUACUUGUCAACCUCAGGACCAACCUGGACAUUAUUUUCCCGCAUGAGCCUCAGCAAUCACCAUUUACCUACAUAUUUCUCAAAUAGAGGCAUGUUAGCAUGAUUGACAAAAUAAUAACAAUAAGUUGUCUCAUCUGUAACUUUACAAACUUCAAACUUUUCAUGAACAAAUUUGAAACAUAAGCACCAACCUCUGUGACAAUAGACACAGCA